This is a long non-coding RNA of Ailuropoda melanoleuca (giant panda), 3011 nucleotides long. RefSeq lists it as uncharacterized. The record is from RefSeq and is a predicted model, not a curated record. Lineage: Eukaryota; Metazoa; Chordata; Mammalia; Carnivora; Ursidae. The transcript has 3 exons.
AUAAAAAAAUUGGUAUUCCAAACCUGGGAUAGUGGAACUUUCCACAGCUGAUGAAUAUCCAGCUUUCAGGCGAAAGCAGUUAUAAAUCUUCCUUUUGGUAGAUUUAUGGGAUACCUUCUAGGACUUGGAAAAUGUUGGCAAUCUCUUUGGCCCAAGGGCCCUGCUGGCUUGCAGAGUAUUGCAAAUGGCAGAGGGAGGCCUGAAGCAAAGCAAAGAAGUGAGAAGGACAGACUGGAUGAAGAAGUCAUGAGGCCAAGGAUGGAGAGGAGAGAAAGUGGUGCACCUGGGCAUGGGUCUCUUUCAAAAGAUGAGAAAACUGAGGGCUAAGGUCAUGCAACAUGGUUGUCUGUGACUCCAAAGUCCAUACUUGUUCAUGCAUACAGUGUGUCCUAGAAAUGGUCAAGCAUCCAGAACUGUUGCCCAGGUGGAGCCCAUUGUUCACCUCAGGCUCAAACCCCUGACACCAUGUGCAGCGAACUUUUAAGAAGUCGCCCGGGAUGAGGUGGGCUGCAGAGAAUGACUUCAGCCAUCCAUGUGACGGCCAUACGAAAAUGACAGAUGAGAACAUGGAGGAGAAACCACUUUCCUUUUGAAGGCACAACAUUUAGUCAGUAAGAAAGGGAUAAGAAGUAGGAAACGUUUCUGUAAAUAGUCAAUGGGCUGUUAUAAGUGGGCUGGAAACCAGUUGUCAUGGAAUCAAGGGUCCGGGGCUGCAAGGGAAUGCUGACGUUGCACAGUCUGGGGCUCCUCGUGGGGCGAGGACGCUGAGUGACAGGAUUGCCUCAGGAGACGGCCGGCUAGUCACGUUCAGCAGAGUCACGCGAGAGUGGGGUCGGCCACGGAAUCGGACCAGACACCUUGAGAAAAGUCUCUUCUAACGCCAGUCCCUCAGGGAAGAUGAAAGUGGAGGGAAGGAAAGCCGAAGCAAGAGAAAAGUAGGGGAGGGAGGAAGAGGAAAACGAAAAAGAAAAAAGUGAGAACCCAGUGACCAGAUAGAAGGCUUUACACUUUCAAAACCAGCCUCUUUAAAGCUCCUGAUUGAGAUAUUUAAAAUUAAAGAACAGGAUCAUGCAGUUCACCCACUGAAGGGAUCAUUAAGCUUUGAUAGAAACAUCUCUCUGUGUAUAAAUAAGUAGAUAAAUUUAAAAAAAUAGGAAUAAUUGAGAAUGUUGCUGAUAAGUUUGGGUUUGUGUCUUACUAACAUAUUCAUUUAUCAAAGUAUUUGUCACACUGAGGAGGUUUUCAGAGAUGGAGUAAAACACACCAGCCGGUGUCUUCAGACACUAACCGGGUUUACAUGCUUCCCACGUCCCUCCCUGUCUGAAUUUGUUCAGGCUGCUAUAACAGACUACUCUGCGCAGACUGGGUGGCCAUAAAUUGGGGAGGAAGUCCAAGAUCAAGGCACCGGCACAUGUGGUGUCUGGUGAGGCCUGAUUCCUGUUUUGUAGAUGGUGGUGCUGUAACCUCCCAAUGCAGAAGGGGCAAGAAAUCUUGCUGCAGUCUCUUUUAUAAGGGUGGAGCUGUAAUGACCUCAUCGCCUCCCAAAGGUCCCACUUCUAAUUACCAUCACAUUAGGGAUUACAUUUCAACAUAUGAAUUUUGGUAGGGGACACAAACAUUCAGUCCAUGUCUCCCAAGUGUACCCUGAUUAUCUUAGGGUCUGAUAACUAUGAAAGAAUGCGUGAAAUUGUAAAUUACUAGGCACACAUGAGGGAUAUAUUAUUGUUCUAAGGCUGUUUCAUAGCCUCAAUGGCAGGAAUAUAGAAAAUCAUUUCUGUUUUUCACAGGCAGAACCUGAUGUUCAGCGACAUAAGUGAUUCACCCAGAGCCACGGGAGAGGUGCAAACAGGCAGUGAUCGGGAGGUAACCAGGUGGUCCUGUCUUCCUUUCUUAGCUCUCCUGUUUAAGCUCAGUUUAGAAUUUAUUUUACUGCUGGAUCUCCGUAUUGUUUGAGUCCUUUGAGGAUGAUGUUGGGCCUGACCCCAGACCAAUUCAAUUAGAACUUGGGAUGGGAGCCCAGCGUCAGUUUUUAUGAAAGUCUUCUCAGGUGGUUCUGAUGAAUGAGGGGUGGAGAACCUCUGAUGUAAGCUGUCUUGAAUGAUUGGACUUUGAUUUUGUCCGAAGAGACAAACCAAGUAACAUUUGAGGGAGCUCUGAGGCUGGCCUGGGGCUCCCCUCCUUCUGUGAUGGUAACUGGCCCCAGCUGGCGCCAUUCCCCUUGACCCCUACACCAAAGGUCUGCAGGGGUUAAACAGGUUGAUGGAGAACCAGGCAGUCCCAAAUGGUAUACCUCUGGUGACAGGAAACCUAAGAGGGGAGUUGAACCAGGACAGGGGCUCCAUGUGGCCAAGAAUUGGCCCUGGUGCUUGGACAGAGGACCCUGGGGAUAAGACCGGACUGCUGGGGGACACAGAGCUACGGGGCAGGGGGUUGGUAAGAGGGAGGAUGUGGGGGAGCAGAGUUAAGGGGGUAAUAAGCAGGAAUAUCCUGGUGGGUAGAGAUGGAAAGGUGGCAGGGGGCUCAGGCCUCAUGUGCUGGUGGCCUGGACACAGUGGUCAAAAUUGUGCCAUAGCGGAGUCAGCCAUGUAGAGCUCAAGGUCAGUCCAUCAGGUCAGAGUUGGAACUCAACUCUGGGGCAGAAGAGCCACAGCAGUCGGGGUCUCAGAAGGAAGAUGCAAACACAGAGAAGCACAUGCAGGCUUGGAGAAGUGAGGGCCCUGUCCUCCUGCCGGUCUAAGCCGCACAAGGAGGGUCUUCCCUGCGGGCCCAAUUAGCCUGCCCCUAGCCGUAUAAUUAGUGGGAUGGUGCAGAAUGGAAGUGUGAGGGCCCUUGUUCAAAAAGCAGGGAAGAGUGAUGUUAAAAGUACAAAAAUAUAAAGCUUUUUCUUUUCUCCGAUUGUUUCUCUCACAACUUGUCAUGAUCAUUUAUUUUUAUUUUAAAAAUAUGUUAUGGGGCACCUGGGUGGCACAGCAAUUAAGCGUCUGCCUUCCGCUCAGGGCGUGAUCCCGGCG